This is a long non-coding RNA of Trematomus bernacchii (emerald rockcod), 544 nucleotides long. RefSeq lists it as uncharacterized. Lineage: Eukaryota; Metazoa; Chordata; Actinopteri; Perciformes; Nototheniidae. The record is from RefSeq and is a predicted model, not a curated record. The transcript is spliced from 2 exons.
AAGGACUGUCCAGAGAGCGGGACUCAGAUAAACAGCAGACUGACUCUAAUGGCCACUACUGAGCACCCAUUUGCUGUCGUGGGGAAGGGGCUACUGCAGCAGCGACUGUAUUGUCAAGCCGGCAGUGAUGGCCGUGUUGCCCGAGCCGAAAGAAGGAGGAGGAGGAAGUCUAUGUGUAAGGCCCUAGCCAGCAUGUUGAUGUUUUUGUUAUUAUUCCUGUUUUUAUUUAGUUUCUCUCAUUUCAGUUUCAGCUUUCCUGCCCUUGAUUGAACUCCACCUGCUUCCCAUCCCGAAUUAGCCUCACCUGUGCCCCAUUAUCAUCACUCCCCCCGACUAUUUAGUCUUUGUCCACAUUCCCCUCAGUGCCAGUUCGUCUUUGUUACUCCUAGCGUUCCAGCAGUGUUUAUUCCUAGUAUCUUGAUUCCACGUGUACCUGACCCAGCUUCGUGUCCUGACCCUGUUCCUGCCUCGUCUGUGUUGGUUGCCUUACUGACUGAUCUCCCGUGUACCGAACCUCUGCUAUAAAGACCCUUUUGCAACCUAA